GAAGGUCACGGCGAGACGAGCCGUUUAUCAUUACGAUAGGUGUCAAGUGGAAGUGCAGUGAUGUAUGCAGCUGUGUAUAAGAGACAGGAGGCAUCCUAACAGACCAAUAGACUUGAAC
RNAcentral lists this ribosomal RNA (118 nucleotides) under Aconitum reclinatum. Its description in RNAcentral is "4.5S ribosomal RNA". The record is from RNAcentral. Lineage: Eukaryota; Viridiplantae; Streptophyta; Magnoliopsida; Ranunculales; Ranunculaceae.